UACGUAGGGGGCAAGCGUUGUCCGGAUUUAUUGGGCGUAAAGAGCGUGUAGGCGGUUUGGUAGGUCCGUUGUGAAAACUCGAGGCUCAACCUCGAGACGUCGAUGGAAACCGUCUGGCUAGAGUCCGGAAGAGGAGAGUGGAAUUCCCAGUGUAGAGGUGAAAUUCGUAGAUAUUGGGAAGAACACCGGUGGCGAAGGCGGCUCUCUGGACCGUAACUGACGCUGAGGCGCGAAAGCGUGGGGAGCAAACAGG
RNAcentral lists this ribosomal RNA (253 nucleotides) under uncultured bacterium. RNAcentral's name for it is "partial 16S ribosomal RNA". It matches the Rfam family "Bacterial small subunit ribosomal RNA", at positions 524 to 776 of the family's 1533-position model. The record is from RNAcentral.